UCCAAUCCAUUGUUUGGCUAACGGUCUUUGCAAAACAGUGGUAGGCAUUUGUAAAGGGUCUUAAGACAUGUCGCCAAAGUUCUUUUUGAUUCAACAAUGCUAGCGACCGCAUGAUCAUGGUUACCAAUAUAUAUUUGUGCAUAGCAUAAACCUUCUUGAGUUUUAUUCAGACUGUUUGAUUGUAUAUUUAAAGAAUGUUACCGUUUGACUGCAGCGCGCGUGUUAGGCUCAUUAAUAAUUCAUGAGGUGGGAGGGGUCAAAUGAGGGGGCGGUGACAGAUGGAUGGAGAAGAGUGUGAGAGGGAGAGAGAGCAGAGAUCACACAACCAACCCGAGUCACUGAUAUCUGACCCAGCGAGAGGAACACAGACAGAUAUGAAUAAAAGAGAUGCUUGGCAAAUAGCCACAAUGAUAUUUUGACAUCAAUCAUUGUGUGUUUGAUUAACAAUUGUCCAGUCCCCCCCCCCCCCCGGGAUGGAGAUACAACAUUGUGUGUCAACCUGGAUUUAAGCGUACAUUGAGAAAGGUCCGCAAAGUGGUCCCAGACAAAACACCAUUAUUAAGUGUUUUUUAGCAGGCAGGCAGGCAGGUCAGCAGCAGCAGC
Long non-coding RNA from Syngnathus acus (greater pipefish), 603 nucleotides. RefSeq lists it as uncharacterized. The transcript has 3 exons. The record is from RefSeq and is a predicted model, not a curated record. Lineage: Eukaryota; Metazoa; Chordata; Actinopteri; Syngnathiformes; Syngnathidae.